This 116-nucleotide microRNA precursor is filed under the name Medicago truncatula (barrel medic). Its description in RNAcentral is "miR5250 stem-loop (mtr-MIR5250)". Lineage: Eukaryota; Viridiplantae; Streptophyta; Magnoliopsida; Fabales; Fabaceae. The record is from miRBase by way of RNAcentral.
UCUUGAAGCAGGCUCUUCAUCUAACAUUCUGGAACACUUUUAAUCUCUAAAUUGUUUAAAUUGCAUUUGAGGUUUAAGGUGUUUGAGAAUGUUAGAUACGGAACCAGCUUACAAUU